RNAcentral lists this unclassified non-coding RNA (219 nucleotides) under Glomus sp. Its description in RNAcentral is "partial contains 5.8S ribosomal RNA and internal transcribed spacer 2". The stretch from base 1 to 65 matches the Rfam family "5.8S ribosomal RNA", at positions 84 to 154 of the family's 154-position model. The record is from RNAcentral. Lineage: Eukaryota; Fungi; Glomeromycota; Glomeromycetes; Glomerales; Glomeraceae.
GUGAAUCAUCGAAUUUUUGAACGCAAAUUGCACUCGCUUCGGAGAGGAUGCCUGUUUGAGGGUCAGCCUAAAAAAAAUCGACAUCGUUGCUGUGUCGCGGGGGCGGUCGUGGGAAAGUGGGUUAGCUUAAAUCUGGGGUUUAAGCGACUUAAAAUGUUCUGUACGAUUCCAUGAACGUUUCCAAGAUUAAUUUCUUAACACGUUUAAGGUAGCGAUGUU